UACGAAGGGGGCUAGCGUUGUUCGGAAUUACUGGGCGUAAAGCGCGCGUAGGCGGUUUUGCAAGCCAGAGGUGAAAUGCCUGAGCUCAACUCAGGAAUGGCCUUUGGGACUGCGAGGCUUUGAGGACUGGAGAGGUGAGUGGAAUUCCCAGUGUAGAGGUGAAAUUCGUAGAUAUUCGCAAGAACACCAGUGGCGAAGGCGGCUCACUGGCUCGGUACUGACGCUGAGGUGCGAAAGCGUGGGGAGCAAACAGG
RNAcentral lists this ribosomal RNA (254 nucleotides) under uncultured bacterium. RNAcentral's name for it is "partial 16S ribosomal RNA". It matches the Rfam family "Bacterial small subunit ribosomal RNA", at positions 524 to 776 of the family's 1533-position model. The record is from RNAcentral.